GCACCUUGAAAGGAGCCAAAUAAGGAAAGCAAUUUGAAAUUCAAAUUUCAAAUCCUUAAGAGAAUUCAAAAUCCAAAAUCAAGAUUCAGCUCAUUAAGGAAAGUGCUAAAUAAGGAAAGUUGCAAACAAGAAAAGUGCAGAGCAGUUUGAAAUUCAAAUCUUCAAGAAUCCCUUUUCCUUAUUUAAGAAGCCAAAUCUUUAGAAGAUGCACAUUCAAAUUUGAAAUUCAAAUUCAGCUUGUCAAAGAAGC
This 250-nucleotide long non-coding RNA is filed under the name Manihot esculenta (cassava). Its description in RNAcentral is "long non-coding RNA (MESC_LNC009273)". The record is from RNAcentral. Lineage: Eukaryota; Viridiplantae; Streptophyta; Magnoliopsida; Malpighiales; Euphorbiaceae.